This 439-nucleotide ribosomal RNA is filed under the name uncultured bacterium. Its description in RNAcentral is "partial 16S ribosomal RNA". It matches the Rfam family "Bacterial small subunit ribosomal RNA", at positions 339 to 795 of the family's 1533-position model. The record is from RNAcentral.
CUACGGGACGCUGCAGUGAGGAAUAUUGCACAAUGGGGGGAACCCUGAUGCAGCAACGCCGCGUGGAGGAUGACGCAUUUCGGUGUGUAAACUCCUUUUAUAUGUCAAGAAAAUGACGGUAGCAUAUGAAUAAGCGCCGGCUAACUCCGUGCCAGCAGCCGCGGUAAUACGGAGGGCGCAAGCGUUACUCGGAAUCACUGGGCGUAAAGGACGCGUAGGCGGGUUGAAAAGUCGGGUGUGAAAGCCUACAGCUUAACUGUAGAACUGCACUUGAAACUCUCAACCUAGAGGAUGGGAGGGGCAGAUGGAAUUAGUGGUGUAGGGGUAAAAUCCGUAGAUAUCACUAGGAAUACCUAAAGCGAAGGCGAUCUGCUGGAACAUUACUGACGCUAAGGCGUGAAAGCGUGGGGAGCAAACAGGAUUAGAUACCCCUGUAGUC